Schizosaccharomyces pombe (fission yeast) is the source of this 662-nucleotide non-coding RNA. The record is from the annotation of a GenBank genome assembly. Lineage: Eukaryota; Fungi; Ascomycota; Schizosaccharomycetes; Schizosaccharomycetales; Schizosaccharomycetaceae.
UAAUGCACCGCAAUGCUUAGCAACGAAAACACUAGUGAACAAUGAAUCGCCAGAACAAAUCGAAACUUCCAUUUUGCUUCUUAAAAGAGAGGAAAUAACAUCUUUAGAUGAUUCUCUUAAAGGGCUCUCUAAUACAAACAAUCCUUGAAAGGUAACAUUGGAUUCUAGAGUAGAACGAGAAAGAUGUAUCAAUUCUUGAAGUGGAGUAAUAAGGUUCUUGGAUGCAAAUGCAAUGAUUCGAAACCCUUUAGAUGAAAGCGUAUGAAUAACUUCCUGUACAUUGCUUGGAAUGGACUGUUGAGAAGAAAUAGCUAAUAUCGAUUCUGGAGCUCCUUUUGUGAAUAACAUUAAAGACCUCUCAGUACUAGUAGAGCAAAUUACUGACAUCCGACGUAAAACCGGAUCAAAUUCCAAUGCCUUAUAGAUAGAAAAAAUUUGACUGGGUCCAUCGAAAGAAUUGGAUACGGAAAAUAACGGAGGAUGUGGAGUAUUUGAAGCUCUGAUAGUGGCACAAAAAGUUCCAUUGAACUGAGUAAAGAGUGUGACUUCCAAAGGAUCACCAACAAGUUCAUUACCAACAAGUUCCAAUGAUUGAGAACAUGUAGCUACUCUGUAGGCAUGUGCGUUUAACUUUGUACUAUCGAGAGAUAAACUGUCAGCAU